CUUGUUAAGAAGCUUUUUCUGUAUUCUUUACAAACUAUUUUCUUGUUAGUUGAUUCAAUCAGGGGAUUGAAUCAAGGUUGUAGAGGUUUUGUUGCCCAAGGUGACAAGCCAAGGAGGGGGGGGGGGCGGGUGAAUUGGUUUCUCUUAAUUUUUACUAUCUUACUUAUGUCAAUUGAUGAGUUAGUGAAAUAGAACAAUGCACAAUACAAACACACAAGAAGUAUAGUGGUUCGGUGCUCUCCUAAGCACCUACGUCCACUCCCCAAGCGACCCCUUGGGAAUUCACUAUAAUCCUGCGGAUUACAGUUAGAUUGUUUUCCGGGCUCACAAUCCAAAAAUCUUUACACUUUGGUUUUCCGGGAUCACCAAAAACCUAUGUUGGUUUUACGGGCUCACCAACGAACCUAUGUUAGUUUUACGGGUUCACCAACGAACCUUCACAAUUGGUUUUAUGGGUUCACCAAUAAACCUACACCGUUGGUUUU
This 485-nucleotide long non-coding RNA is filed under the name Phoenix dactylifera (date palm). RNAcentral describes it as "long non-coding RNA (PDAC_LNC022260)". The record is from RNAcentral. Lineage: Eukaryota; Viridiplantae; Streptophyta; Magnoliopsida; Arecales; Arecaceae.